Long non-coding RNA from Daucus carota subsp. sativus, 1353 nucleotides. RefSeq lists it as uncharacterized. Lineage: Eukaryota; Viridiplantae; Streptophyta; Magnoliopsida; Apiales; Apiaceae. The transcript has 4 exons. The record is from RefSeq and is a predicted model, not a curated record.
CCCAAAUUUUCAUUUCCCACCAUUUUCCUCUCAAUCCAAAUUUUCAUUCCCCCUUAGCACUCUCCAGGAUUUACAAACUCUAAACACUCUUCGGUCUUCACAAACACCAUGUUUGUAUAACAACUCCCUCUCCGGUAAAGCUCCAUUUGUUUUGUGUUUCUCUUGAUACAAACCCUCUCCACAAAUUCUCUUGAUUGUAACACUUCUAAUUUACCUCUCUGGAUUGUAACAUCUUUGAUUUACAAACUCUGCACGAUCCAUAGGUACAUAAAAACUGUCUCCACAAACUCUCUCCAUUUGGAACUCAUUUUAUCUUCUUUUUUUGUUACACAUAAAACAAAUUCUUCUUCUUGAAAUUGCGGCUAAUUAGGGUUUCAAUUUUGGGGCUUACAUUUUGCAGUUCAAGAGUUCUGUACAAAAUCGGGAGCAUUUGAAUUUAAAUGGUGGCCAGAGAGUCAGUGAUAAAGGAGUUGAAGCAAUAACUUAUGCUUGUCCUAAAUUUAAAAGUUUCUCCAUCUAUUGGAAUGUAAGAUGUCUUAGCACUACCCCUUUCACUGGUCAGUACAGGAGAUGCGAGGAUCAAGUUUAAAGUAAGUGAGACUCGGUUCUUCUGAAGCUUGACCCGAAUUCCUGGUUUCAAGUGAGAGAGGAUUACGCCGACCAUGUUAAGUUUGGAGGGGAUGUUUGCCAGGAAGUGAUUAUUUCAGUGUCCAGCAAACUAGAAAACAUAGUCAACUUCAUUGUGAGGGAUUAUCAAGCAGACAUUAUCAAGUUCAAGGAGGACUAAACUUGUAGCUCUAAAUCACAUCCUGUCCACCUCCUUACGUCAGUGCAGAUAUAUCUACUACAAUAGUCGGUGCAUCAAGCUAACAGAUGGGGGUUUGCAACAGAUAUUAUUCAAAUGUUGGGCUUUCCGGACUCUAAAUCUUUAUGCCGAUACAAGGUAAAUUCUAGAAAGGCUAUAUCUACAUGUUUAUUUCUUGAAGUACAAAGGGGCCUGUUUGGAAUAUGUUCAGGUAAAUUUGUUGUUUAAAUGGGAGUUUUUUUGUGUGCGGAAAUUCUUCAAUUCUCGUGGCGUUUUGAAGUGUCAGUAGUACUGUUGGUUCUUUCCUCCCAGCAGACUCAACAACUUCGAGCUUUGCUAGUCAAGCCUAUGAACUCCGCCCCCCAACUUCUUAAAGUACGAGACAUAUCUUCCGAUAGUUUAGAUAGAUCAUACUCUUGUGUAAACCGAGUAUUGUGACUUUGACAUGAGAUUGUUUUGUAUACGUUUUGAUAUUGAAUUUGUAAUUAUUGUGAUUUAUUUAUGGUUUUUAAGCAUUUUAUAAAUUAUUAUUUUCAAUUUAAAUAAAA